GUGUUGGCUGGCAAUUCUUGGUGUCCUGGGCUUGUAGACACGUCACUCCAGUUCCUGCCUCCAUCUUCACAUGGCUUUCUCCUCUGUGUGCCCCUUAUAAGGGAACCUGUCAUUGGAUUUAGGGCCUGUUAUGGAUUGAAUUGUGUCCCCCAAUUCAAUAUAUGUUGUAAACCCUAACCCCUAUACCUGUGGUUUAACGACGAUUGUAAGGAUGGCACAGGACCAGGCAGUGUUUCGUUCUGUUGUACAUAGGGUCACUAUGAGUCGGAACCGACUCGGCGGCACCUGACAACAACAACAACACUUGUGGUUAGAAUCCCAUUUGGGAUUACGUUUUCUUCGUUAUGUUAAGGAGGCAGUAUUAGUGUAGGGUGUGUCUUGAGUCAAUCUCUUUCGAGAUAUAAAAGGAGUAGAUUAAGCAAGCAGAGAUGGGGAAGACAGAUGCCACAUGAAGACCACCAAGGAACCAGGAAACAAGCAGAAGAAACAAGGACCUUCCUCCAGAGCCAACAGAGAGAGAGAGAGAGAGCCUUGCCUAGAGCCAGCGACCUGAAUUCUAGCCUCCUGAACUGUAAGAAAAUACAUUUCUGUUUGUUAAAGCCAUCCACUUGUGGUAUUUCUGUUAUAGCAACGCUAGAAGACUUAAGACAGAGUGAUCCAGGAUCAUCUCCUGCUAAGAGGCUCACCCUGAUCACAUCUACAAACACCCUUGUGAUGGUGAAGGUUGUGUGUCAACUUGGCUGGGCCAUGAUUCUCAGGGAUUUGGCAGUUAUGAUGUAGGUUGGCAGUUAUGUAAUGAUGCAAUCACCUCCGUGAUGAGACCUGAUACAAUGUAAUCACCUCCAUGAUGAGACCAGACAUAAUGUAAUCACCUCCAUGAUGAGUUGUGAUAUAAUGUAACCAUCUUCAUGAUGAGAGCUGAUGUAAUCAUCUUUAUGAUGAGAUCUUACAUAAUGUAAUCACCUCCAUGAUGAGAUCUGCUGUGAACAGCCAGUCAUUUGAAAGGGAGUUUCCUUGGGGGUGUUGCCUGCAUCCGUUGUGUGUGAACUUUCUGGCAAAGUUUGCUGGCUUUGGCUUGCUUUGCAUCCUCAUUUGACCUCUAGUUCUUGGGACUUGAGCUAGCAGCUUACCUUCUAGCAACUUAUCUUGGGUUCACCAGCCCCUGCAGCUAUGUGAGUCAGGAGAAGCUUCCAGCCUGAUGUCUGACUCACAGACUUGGGACUUUCCAGUCUCUAUAGCCACAUGAGCCGUUUCCUUGAUAUAAAUAUCUCUCUCUCUCUCUCUCUCUAUAUAUAUACAUCACUGAUUUUGCUUCUCUAGAGAACCCAGCCUAAGGCAAGCCUUUUACCAAGUGACGUUCCAUUCACAGGUUCCAGGUUCCUGGACGUGAACACAUGUUGUUGGGGUCACCGUUCACCACCCUGCACCCUGCGUUAUGAAAUGGUAUCUUCCACAAACCAACGCAGACUAUCUACCAGAUGGCAGGUGCAGUGUGGGCAGGGGUCACAUCCACAAGUACAGCAGACAGGACUCCAACACACAUUUUGGGGGGGACACAAUUCCAUCCAUAGCAGGUCUCAUCACUCCAAUCUCUGCCUCCGUCUUCACCCCCUCCUUCACUGCAGGACUUCUCCUCUGAUGCCUAAGGACACUUGUUGUUGGGUUCAGGGUGCAUCUUAAUCCAGGAUGAUCUCAUCUUUAGAUAUUUCCCUUAAUCAUGUCUAGAAAGACCUUUUUACCAAAUAAGGUUCCAUUCACAGGUCCUCUAAUGUAUCUCUUUGGAAGUCCCUAGAGUAUCAAAACCCAUUUCUGCACGUGGGUCAACAUCUUCACAAUUGACUACAACGGAUCAGCUUUCAACCCAGAGGCUGACAGGGUACCCAUUCUGGGUAGACACUCAGACAAAAUAGGGGCUCUGCCACAACACCAGGGGUAAGGAGGUGGCUGGCCUAGCAGGGGGGCUACCAUACAUCACCUCUGUGUGCUCUUCUGACCAGUGUGAGUACACUGACCACCCAGGACAGGCGUCCAUCUCCCACACUGGCUCUGUGUCUGCUCCUCUGUUCACUGUGAGGACACUGACCACCCAGGACAGACGUCCAUCUCCCACACUGGCUCUGUGUCUGCUCCUCUGUCCACUGUGAGGACGCUGACCACCAAGGACAGGCGUCCAUCUCCCACACUGGCUCUGUGUCUGCUCCUCUGUCCACUGUGAGGACACUGACCACCCAGGACAGGCGUCCAUCUCCCACACUGACUCUGUGUCUGCUCCUCUGUCCACUGUGAGGACACUGACCACCAAGGACAGACGUCCAUCUCCCACACUGACUCUGUGUUUGCUCCUCUGUCCACUGUGAGGACACUGACCACCCAGGACAGACGUCCAUCUCCCACACUGACUCUGUGUCUGCUCCUCUGUCCACUGUGAGGACACUGACCACCAAGGACAGACGUCCAUCUCCCACACUGACUCUGUGUCUGCUCCUCUGUCCACUGUGAGGACACUGACCACCCAGGACAGGCGUCCAUCUCCCACACUGACUCUGUGUCUGCUCCUCUGUCCACUGUGAGGACACUGACCACCCAGGACAGACGUCCAUCUCCCACACUGACUCUGUGUCUGCUCCUCUGUCCACUGUGAGGACACUGACCACCCAGGACAGGCGUCCAUCUCCCACACUGACUCUGUGUCUGCUCCUCUGUUCACUGUGAGGACACUGACCACCAAGGACAGACGUCCAUCUCCCACACUGACUCUGUGUCUGCUCCUCUGUUCACUGUGAGGACACUGACCACCCAGGACAGACAUCCAUCUCCCACACUGGCUCUGUGUCUGCUCCUCUGUCCACUGUGAGGACACUGACCACCCAGGACAGACGUCCAUCUCCCACACUGACUCUGUGUCUGCUCCUCUGUUCACUGUGAGGACACUGACCACCCAGGACAGACAUCCAUCUCCCACACUGGCUCUGUGUCUGCUCCUCUGUUCACUGUGAGGACGCUGACCACCCAGGACAGACAUCCAUCUCCCACACUGGCUCUGUGUCUGCUCCUCUGUCCACUGUGAGGACACUGACCACCAAGGACAGACGUCCAUCUCCCACACUGACUCUGUGUCUGCUCCUCUGUUCACUGUGAGGACACUGACCACCCAGGACAGACGUCCAUCUUCCACACUGACUCUGUGUCUGCUCCUCUGUCCACUGUGAGGACACUGACCACCCAGGACAGACGUCCAUCUUCCACACUGACUCUGUGUCUGCUCCUCUGUACAGCAUGAGGACACCGACCACCAAGGACAGACGUCCAUCUCCCACACUGGCUCUGUGUCUGCUCCUCUGCCCACUGUGAGGACACUGACCACCCAGGACAGACGUCCAUCUUCCACACUGACUCUGUGUUUGCUCCUCUGUCCACUGUGAGGACACUGACCACCCAGGACAGACGUCCAUCUCCCACACUGACUCUGUGUCUGCUCCUCUGUUCACUGUGAGGACACUGACCACCCAGGACAGACAUCCAUCUCCCACAUUGGCUCUGUGUCUGCUCCUCUGUCCACUGUGAGGACACUGACCACCCAGGACAGACGUCCAUCUCCCACACUGGCUCUGUGUCUGCUCCUCUGUCCACUGUGAGGACACUGACCACCAAGGACAGGUGUCCAUCUCCCACACUGACUCUGUGUCUGCUCCUCUGUCCACUGUGAGGACACCGACCACCAAGGACAGGCGUCCAUCUCCCACACUGACUCUGUGUCUGCUCUGUCCACUGUGAGGACACUGACUACCAAGGACAGGUGUCCAUCUCCCACACUGACUCUGUGUCUGCUCCUCUGUCCACUGUGAGGACGCUGACCACCAAGGACAGGUGUCCAUCUCCCACACUGACUCUGUGUCUGCUCCUCUGUCCACUGUGAGGACACUGACCACCAAGGACAGGUGUCCAUCUCCCACACUGACUCUGUGUCUGCUCCUCUGUACAGUGUGAGGACACCGACCACCAAGGACAGGCGUCCAUCUCCCACACUGACUCUGUGUCUGCUCCUCUGUCCACUGUGAGGACACUGACCACCCAGGACAGACAUCCAUCUCCCACACUGGCUCUGUGUCUGCUCCUCUGUCCACUGUGAGGACACUGACCACCCAGGACAGACGUCCAUCUCCCACACUGGCUCUGUGUCUGCUCCUCUGUCCACUGUGAGGACACUGACCACCAAGGACAGGUGUCCAUCUCCCACACUGACUCUGUGUCUGCUCCUCUGUACAGUGUGAGGACACCGACCACCAAGGACAGGCAUCCAUCUCCCACACUGACUCUGUGUCUGCUCUGUCCACUGUGAGGACACUGACCACCAAGGACAGGUGUCCAUCUCCCACACUGACUCUGUGUCUGCUCCUCUGUACAGCGUGAGGACACCGACCACCAAGGACAGACAUCCAUCUUCCACACUGACUCUGUGUCUGCUCCUCUGUCCAGCGUGAGGACACCGACCACCAAGGACAGGCGUCCAUCUCCCACACUGACUCUGUGUCUGCUCCUCUGUCCACUGUGAGGACGCUGACCACCAAGGACAGGUGUCCAUCUCCCACACUGACUCUGUGUCUGCUCCUCUGUCCACUGUGAGGACACUGACCACCAACGACAGGUGUCCAUCUCCCACACUGACUCUGUGUCUGCUCCUCUGUACAGUGUGAGGACACCGACCACCAAGGACAGGCGUCCAUCUCCCACACUGACUCUGUGUCUGCUCUGUCCACUGUGAGGACACUGACCACCAAGGACAGGUGUCCAUCUCCCACACUGACUCUGUGUCUGCUCCUCUGUACAGCAUGAGGACACCGACCACCAAGGACAGGCGUCCAUCUCUCACACUGACUCUGUGUCUGCUCCUCUGUACAGCAUGAGGACACUGACCACCAAGGACAGACGUCCAUCUCCCACACUGACUCUGUGUCUGCUCCUCUGUCCACUGUGAGGACACUGACCACCCAGGACAGACGUCCAUCUCCCACACUGACUCUGUGUCUGCUCCUCUGUUCACUGUGAGGACGCUGACCACCCAGGACAGACAUCCAUCUCCCACACUGGCUCUGUGUCUGCUCCUCUGUCCACUGUGAGGACACUGACCACCAAGGACAGGUGUCCAUCUCCCACACUGACUCUGUGUCUGCUCCUCUGUACAGUGUGAGGACACCGACCACCAAGGACAGGCGUCCAUCUCCCACACUGACUCUGUGUCUGCUCUGUCCACUGUGAGGACACUGACCACCAAGGACAGGUGUCCAUCUCCCACACUGACUCUGUGUCUGCUCUGUCCACUGUGAGGACACUGACCACCAAGAAUAGACGUCCAUCUCCCACACUGACUCUGUGUCUGCUCUGUCCACUGUGAGGACACUGACCACCAAGGACAGGUGUCCAUCUCCCACACUGACUCUGUGUCUGCUCCUCUGUACAGUGUGAGGACACCGACCACCAAGGACAGACAUCCAUCUCCCACACUGACUCUGUGUCUGCUCUGUCCACUGUGAGGACACUGACCACCAAGGACAGGUGUCCAUCUCCCACACUGACUCUGUGUCUGCUCCUCUGUACAGCGUGAGGACACCGACCACCAAGGACAGGCGUCCAUCUCCCACACUGACUCUGUGUCUGCUCUGUCCACUGUGAGGACACUGACCACCAAGAAUAGACGUCCAUCUCCCACACUGACUCUGUGCCUGCUCUGACCAGUGCGAGGACACUGACCACCCAGGACAGACAUCCAUCUCCCACGCUGACUCGACCAAGCUACAUCAACAGGCCACCAUUGUCUUGUCCCCUUGGUGGGUGUCUUUGGAGGAGCCGUAGCCCACAGCCUAGGAAUCUGCAAAUUCACGGUCAAUCUUCCAAGGGUCUCCCUGGAAACAUCCGGCCCCAUUCCCAUGGUAGCCCUCAUGGCUGGCGGCACUUCUAUUUCCGUCCUUCCCUUCCUCUGAGACUUGCUGGCUUUCAUUACUCUGUCAGCACCAAGGCCUCAGCUCCCUUGGGGGUGCUGACACAUCCUGUCCCCUUUUCCCAAUCUGAGAUUCAGUCCCAAAUAACUCUAGCUCAGUUCCUUGCUUCUGCCCAAACUCCUGACCUCCGCAUAAGCAAGUUUAAUCUUCCUGGGGCCUGCAGACACCUUUGACAUCCAGUGGGGGCUCUGAGUCCAUUUUCCUGACACACACACACACAAAACUCGAUAUACAGUUUCAUGGGUUCAUGUUGUCGUUAGGUGCCCUUGAGUCAAUUCUUACUCCUAGCGACCCCAUGUGACAGAGAAGAACUGCCCCAUAAGGUUUUCAAGGAUGUAAUCUUUACAGAGGCAGAUUGCCAGGUCUUUUCUUCUGCGGUACCACUGCGUGAGUGUGAACCAACGACCUCUAGGUUAGUAGUUAAGUGCAAACCAUUUAAUUAACCACCCUGGUCAUUAUGCCAGGGAUGAGCCUCCUGUCUGUUUUAUAUCAGGGUGCCCACCCUGAAGUCAAUCACACACACAAAGCAGGGAUCAGCAAACUAGAGCCCAUGGAGUUAUCUGGCCCCCAUUGCCUGUUUUUGUCAAUAAAGUUUUAUCAGCACACAGCCACGCCAUUUCGGCAACAUAUUGUGUGUGGCUGCUUUUGCCAUGUAACAGCAGAGAGUAGUUGUGACAGAUACCGUGUGGUUUGCAAAGCCUAAAAUAUUUACCAUCUGGCCCUUUGUGAAAAAAUUUUCUGAUCCCUAUCAAAGAGCCACAUAUUCAUAAAAAGGCCAAGACCUCCCCUGGCAGGUCUGGGAUGACUUCGGACCAUCAACAGCCUGAUAAUUACAGCCCGACCUUGCAAAGAGGUAUGAAAACCAUCUCUCCGAACACUUUUAGCCUUGGCUAGGGCUUCUUUUGGACGGUGAGACAUUGGCUCGCUUACUUUGGACAAGUUGUUGUUGUUAGGUGUCAUCGAGUCAGUUCCAACCCACAGAGACCCCAUGGACAAUAGAGGGAAACACUGCCCAGUCCUGCGCCAUCCUCACAAUUGUUGCUAUGUUUGAGCCCAUCAUUGCAGUCACUGUGUAAAUCCCCUUCCUCUUUUUCACUGACCGUCUACUUUUCCAAGCAUGAUGUCUUUCUCCAGAGACUGGUCCCUCCUGAUAAUAUGCCCAAAGUACGUGAGACAAAGUCUCACCAUCCUCACUUCUAAGGAGCAUUCUGGCUGUACUUCUUCCAAGACAAACCUAUUCGCUUUUCUGGCAGUCCAUGGUGUAUUCAAUAUUCUUCUUUGCCAAUACCGUAAUGGAAAGCUGCCAAUUCUUCUUUGGUGUCCAGACAUGUUAUCAGGAGGGACCAGUCCCUGGAGAAGGAUAUCUGCUUGGUAAAGCAAAAAAGAGGAAGCCCCUCAACAUGAUGGAUUGACACGGUAGCUGGAAGCAUACCUACUAGUGUGAGGAUGGUGCAGGAUGGGGCAACAUCUCAUUCUGUUAUACAUGAGGUUGUCCUGAGUUGGAGCCAACUCAACGGCACCCGACAACAACAAGAAGAGUUGGAUUUAUCAUUGGUUUUUCAGCUACAAUAUUGCUGUAAUGAGUAUUUUUGAACCUAUGGUCUCAUUGGUGCAUCUUCUCUGCAGAGUUGUUCUCCUUCCAUCUUCUGAUUCUCUAUGCUGUACCAACUCGCAAGCCUCAAAAUCUUUAAAAAAAAAAAAAAAAAAAGUGUCUUUGGUAAGGAUCGCAUGACUACGUCCACAGUAUUUCCAGGGAGUACAAAAGGUCUCACGCAUUCACCUCGGCUGGUCCUCAAGGCUACCUGUAGAAGGAAUCUAGGUAUUUUCGCUAUCUUCACUCAUCAUGCUGACUUUGGGGCUCAGAGGUCCUCACCUUUGCCAUGGCAGACUCAGAGUCUUCUCGUCCGAUUCCCAUAUAACAUCCCCCCCCGCCCCCGUCUCCUGCGUAAUAACCGUGCUGCCUCAUUCCAAUCAGAAGGGUUCACACUUUUUGCGUGAUAGAGUCAGAUCUUUUCAUCCAAAUUCCAUAUCACUCCCUGGUCUCCCAAGUCUUCACUGUGCUGUGUCAUUGCAUCCUGGGCUUUGCAGCAAAUUCUCCCUCAGGAUCAAGGGAGCCAGAGCCUGGACCUGGGCUCACCCGUGGAUCUUCCUAGGGCUUCAGCUCUCCCUUCCUAAAGCAUCUAAAGUACAAGGUACUGUGACAUUGUCUUGUUGACUUGUGAGUGUGUGUGCUGUGUGUGGGUGUGGUGUGUGUAUGUGGGGGUGUGUGAGCAUUGUGAUACGUUAUGUGGUGUGUGUGAUAUGUGUGGGUGUGGUGUGUGUGAGUGUGUUGUGUGUGUGAUGUGUAAGCAGUGUAUGAUGGCGUGCGUGUAUGUAUGUCUGUGGUGUAUGUGUGUUUGUGGGGUCCGUGUGGUGUGUGCACAAUGUGUGUGGCAUGUGUAUAUGGCGUGUGUGUGUUGUAGGGGGUGUGUGAGUAUUGUGAUGUGUUAUGUGGUGUGUGUGAUAUGUGUGGGUGUGGUGUGUGUAUGUGGGGUGUGUGUGAGUGUGUUGUGUGUGUGGAUGUGUACGGUGUGUGUGAUGUGUAAGUAGCAUAUGAUGGCCUGAGUGUAUGUAUGUCUGUGGUGUAUGUGUGUUUGUGGGGCCCGUGUGGUGUGUGCGCAAUGUGUGUAGCAUGUGUAUAUGGCGUGUGUGUGUUGUCUGUGUGUUUGUGGUGCAUGUGUGGUGUGUGUGGUGGUUGGGUGUGUACAUGUGAUGUGUGGGUGGAGUGUGUCAUUGUGUGUGUAGUUGUGUGUGUAUGUGUGUGGCUUUGUACCUGUGGUUGUGUGUAUAUGGUGUGUGUGUGGUUGUGUGUGUGAGCGUGUGUGGUAUAUGUGGUUGUGUGUGUAGUGUGUAUAUAUGGUGUAUAUGUGAGUGUGGUGUGUGUAGGGUGUGUUUGGUUGUGUGUGUGGUGUGUGUAUACGGUGUGUAGUUGUGUGUGUGUAGUGUGUGUGGUGUGUGCAUAUGGUGUGUAGUGUGGUUGUGUGUGUGUAGUGUGUGUAUGUGGUGUGCAUGGUUGUGUGCGUAGUAUGUGUACAUGGCAUAUGUGGUGUGUGUAUAUGGUGUGUGUAGUGUGUGUAUGUAGUGUGUGUGGUGUGCUUGGCUGUGUGUGUGUAGUGUGUAUAUGUGGUGUGUUGGGUUGUGCGUGUACAGUGUGCUGUGUGUGUGUAAAGUGUGUCUAUGGUGCGUGUGGUGUGUGUGUGGACACCAUGUACACACACCACCCACUGCACAGCUGGCAGGCUGAAGUCCUGUGGAACGCAGUAAUCCCAGUGCAGAUCAGGGUGCCCCGCAGUUUGGGUGCCUGUCACGUUCCGGCCACACACCGAAAGAUGCCGCAAUGCGAGCAGUUUUAGAAUGUAAAAGGAAGCAUGUUCCGUUAGGAUUUUUUAUGUAUUUAUAUAAAACAAACAAACCAGGAAUCCGGUCUGUCUGGGAACGCCCUUCAGUCCUCUGUCCAGCAUUGCAGGAUCAGGGCGAUGGUCCUCUCCGUUCCCGGCUCCAGGGGCGCCCUUUAUGCAGAAAGCCUAUGUGGGCACUGCGGGGUCCUCCAUGUCCUUCCAGAACACCUCUCGGGGGUCACGGGCUGGGGAAGCGGCCCCGCCCGGGCAGGGUGCCAGGUGACAGUCACAGGCCCCCGCUGCGCUCCAGCGCGUCCAGCCCCUGCUGAGAGCCAGUGCACAGUCACAGGAAAUUUCGCAGGGCUUCCUCUCCACCUUAGCAGGUCCCCGUGGCAGUUGCAGCUCCUUUAGGACGGUGCCGAAUUUGCAUCGGGACGCCUCCAUCCACGGGCGUGAUGCCACUUUUACCACCUCCUGCGGAAGCUUAGCAGCCACUCGGACAGGACCGUUUGCCGACCCGGGGUAAUCCAGAGGCAGGCGGACCGCCUGGGUCUGCACAGCUGCUCGUUCAACGCUCCGAGGAGGAGGCAGCUGUCAGCCACGGUCCUGAGCCCAUGGCUCUAGGGCUCUCGAAGAGACCACCUCCACCGCUGCUGCUACAGGCUGAGGUGGUGGUUGGCCACACAACAUUGCGAAUGGACUCCAUGCCCCUGAACUGCGCACUUCAAAACAGUUAAUUUUACGGGUCAGAUGUCGUUGGCUCCUUAGCGGCAGUGUUUGUGAUAAACCUAGUCCAGCAUUGCUAUGACAACAAGGGAUCCCAGGAGACAGCUCAUCUGGGAAAUAAAGGGUUUCCAAGGAGUGGCUGGUGGAUUCCAACUUGCGGCCUUUUGAUUAACAGCCAAACACUUAAGCACUGUGCAACCCGGGCCCUGUCGCUUAUAAAGACAUCACUAAAAUGGGAUUAGGAGCCCUGGUGGUGCAACGGUUAAGCACGUGGCUGCUAACCAAAGGAUUGGAGGUUUGAACCCACCCCGCAGGCCCUCGGAAGAAGGACCUGAUGAUCUCCCGCAAAGCUUACAGCCUGGGAAACCUACGGGGGAGCUCUACUCUCUAACACAAGGGGCCGCUAUGAGUUGGAAUCAACGCGAAGGCACAUCACAACAAUACAUCAAAACCAAAAAACCCACAGCCAUCGAGUCAUUCCGACUCAGAGCGACCCCAUAGGGUUUCUGGGGCUGUCAGCCUCUCCCGUAGCAGACCGACACAUCUUUCUCUCGCGGAGGCACCGGUGGGUUCAGACCACCAACCUUCUGGUUGGCAAUCAAUCGCUUUAACCGCUGCCCCCUGUAUAUAUCAAAACACUUGCCAUUUUAACCAUUUUGAAGUGUGCAACUCAGUGACAUCAGUUAUCUUCAUCGUGUUGCACAAGCAUUGCUACCAACCGUUUUCAAAUGUUUUUCGUCCCCCUAAACAGAACCUCGGAGCGCCUUAAGCAAUAACUCGCCACUCCUACCCACCCCCCACCCAGCCCCUAGUAAGCCCUAAUAAACUUUCGUCUCUAUGCAUUUGCCCAAAAAGAACAGAAAUUUAUUGUCUCAGUUCUGGGGACCAGAAGCCCAAGUUCGAGGUGUGGACAGGGCUGCGCUCCCUCCGGAGUCUCUAGGGGGGGAUCCUUCCUGGUCUCUCCCAGCUGCUGGUGGCCCCAGGUGUUCCUGGGCUUGUGGCCACAUCACUGCAAUCCCUGCUCCGUCUUCACGUGGCGUCUCCCCUCUGUCUGUCUCUUAUAAGGAACCCGGUCAUUGGAUUUAUGGCCCACCCUAAUCCAGGAGUCCCUGGGUUAUAGUAUUUUUUGCAAAUAAUGUGCCCACAUAAAUGACAUAAAAUGCACAUUUAUGAAAAUAGCUCUUGGGAAAAAGGGGUUGCGAGGUUGGUAAAAAACAUUAUUUGCGUUAAAAUAUAGUAAACGCUCAACUAUUACCUGAAAGGCUGGUGGUUCGAACCCACCCAGGGGCACCUCUGAAGACAGGCCCGGCAACCUGCUUCCGAAAGGUCACAGCCUUGAAAACCCUGUGGGGCACACUUCUACUCUGCACACCUGGGGUCGCCAUGAGUUGGAAUUGACUCGACAGCAGCAACUAGUCCAGGCUGGCCUUCUCUCUAGGUCUGUACCUUAAUCUCACCUACAGAGACCCUUUUCCCAAUGAGGUAGCAUUCAGAGGUCCCGGGGCUGAGGGUGUGGACAUGGCUUUUGGGGGCGCCGUUCAUUGGAAGCCCUGGGUUACGGCUGAAAGAGACUUCCAUGCUGUGGGUAUGGGCACAGCAGGGGGACAGAGCCCUCUAGAGGGCCCCAAAGACAGAGCAGGAAGUGGAGCCAGGCCCUCGGCAGAGUGUGUGGCCCUUCCUGACUGUCAUCAACCCGAUUUGGGAUGAGUCCCUGUUAGAAGUCGCGAGGGAGAGCAGGUUGGAGACCACUAGCCAAGGCCGGCAGAAACAGACCCAUUUACUGUGGACCUUACAGUUGAUCACGCUGACAUUGUUCGCCGUUGUCUAGUCGGCCCGGACUCACCGCACCCCCACGCACAACUGAACGAAACAGUGCCCGGCCCUGAGCCACCCCAUGAUCUGUUCUGGAUCAGACCCUUAAGACCCACUGGGUUUUUGCUGGCUGAUUUUUGGAAGUAGAUCUCCAGGCCUUUCCUCCUAGUCUCUCUCAGUCUGGAAGCUCCACUGAAACCCGUUCAGCGUCAUAGCAACACGCAAGCCUCCACAGACAGACGGGUGGGGGCUGUGUCUGAGGUACACUGGCUGGGAAGCGAAUUCAGGUCUCCCAAAUGGAAGGUGAGGAUUGUAUCAUGGAACCACCACUGUCCUGCUAUAAACGGUCAUUAAAAAAAUUGAAAAGCCAGUUGCCCUACAGUUAACUCUGACUCAUAGCACCCCGUGUUUGUCGGAGUAGAACUGUGCCCCGCGGGGUUUUCAGUGGGUGAUUUUUCAGAAGUAGAUUGCCAGGCCUUCCUUCUGAGACACUCCUGGGUGAACUCAAACCACCAACCUUCCAGUUAGCAGCCCGGGGGGUUCAAUGUUUGCACCGCCCGGGGACUCACGGCUGGUCGUAGAGGACAACAACCCCAAACCAAGACGUGACUUUGCUUCCAAAGAUAAAAACACAAACCAAACCAGAUCGGAGGGAACCUGAGUCUGCAAACCUACCUCCAGGGGCCUAGCGGCACCUCAUGGGGGUCUGACGUUUCUCUGCCUGAGCUGGGCCACAGGGACCAGAUCCCGCCCCAGGAGGCAGCUGAGGGGGCCAGCUGGUGGUACGAGGGAAGGGCAGAGACGCUUGCAGCACCUGGGAGACUGAG
RNA transcript from Loxodonta africana (African savanna elephant), 12738 nucleotides. It is a transcript of the gene named P2Y receptor family member 8, with no coding region annotated. The record is from RefSeq and is a predicted model, not a curated record. The transcript has 4 exons. Lineage: Eukaryota; Metazoa; Chordata; Mammalia; Proboscidea; Elephantidae.